RNAcentral lists this long non-coding RNA (758 nucleotides) under Sus scrofa (pig). RNAcentral's name for it is "lncRNA (ENSSSCG00015079092.1)". Lineage: Eukaryota; Metazoa; Chordata; Mammalia; Artiodactyla; Suidae. The record is from RNAcentral.
GCGCCGGCAGUAAACGCCGCCGCACGUCCCACCUCCCCUCCCCACGACCCGAUGUCAGGACCCAGUGUCAGGCCAGGGGCGCCGAGCUGGGCUUGUCAGCAACCUUAGGAUGAUGAACUAGCAAAACGUCUCAAGCUACAGGAAAACUAAGACGCGCUGGUGGGCCCACUCUAAGUGCAAGUCAGGAAGCGCUUUAUUCUAUUUAGAAACAGCGUAACCGUGGGUACCCCGUGCACUUCGAAGACCUGUACGAAUUAAAGCCUCACCGGAGUCAGAGCGCAGGAGAGGCGUCUGACCCAGGCCGGACCCGGACCCCCAAAGGCCACCGGCGCAGCUCGGCGCAGCUCGGGAAGGAAAGACGAGCCCGACCCCGGGCCGCAGCGCAGGCGUCAACGGACCAGAGCCCAGGAGGCAGCCCUCGGGUGAAGGGACACCAUGCCAGGCAGGCCCGCUCCCAACCCCAGGAGGGUCCGCGGCCAGGCUGCUUUCUCCGGAGGAGGCGCCUGUUAACCCCGCACACAUCCGUGCCUGUUUGCCCUCAAGUCCUUGCAACAAAUGAUGCGAUUAAACGCAGACAUCCACAUCGCAAAAAGAGAUCCUGCGUCAUGUCGUGUCUAAAAAUUAAUUUCUAGAUUUAAAGGUGAAAGCUAAAGGAGUAAAGUUUUCAAGGAAAACGGGGAAAAAUCUGCUUGAUUUAGGAGCAGGUUAAGGCUUCUUGGCAGUAACCCUAAGAGAAUAAAUAGAGAAAUUAGAGGUCA